This 303-nucleotide unclassified non-coding RNA is filed under the name plant metagenome. Its description in RNAcentral is "partial contains 5.8S ribosomal RNA, internal transcribed spacer 2, and large subunit ribosomal RNA". The stretch from base 1 to 105 matches the Rfam family "5.8S ribosomal RNA", at positions 50 to 154 of the family's 154-position model. The record is from RNAcentral.
GAAAUGCGAUAAGUAAUGUGAAUUGCAGAAUUCAGUGAAUCAUCGAAUCUUUGAACGCACAUUGCGCCCGCCAGUAUUCUGGCGGGCAUGCCUGUUCGAGCGUCAUUUCAACCAUCAAGCCCCGCGCUUGUGUUGGGGACCUGCGGCUGCCGCAGGCCCUGAAAACCAGUGGCGGGCUCGCUGUCACACCGGGCGUAGUAGAUUUUAUCUCGCUCAGGGCGUGCUACGGGUUCCGGCCGUUAAAAAGCCUUUUUUACCCAAGGUUGACCUCGGAUCAGGUAGGAAGACCCGCUGAACUUAAGC